GACGAACGCUGGCGGCGUGCUUAACACAUGCAAGUCGAACGGAAAGGCCCUGCUUUUGUUGGGUGCUCGAGUGGCGAACGGGUGAGUAACACGUGAGUAACCUGCCCUUGACUUUGGGAUAACUUCAGGAAACUGGGGCUAAUACCGGAUAGGAGCUCCUGCUGCAUGGUGGUGGUUGGAAAGUUUCGGCGGUUGGGGAUGGACUCGCGGCUUAUCAGCUUGUUGGUGGGGUAGUGGCUUACCAAGGCUUUGACGGGUAGCCGGCCUGAGAGGGUGACCGGCCACAUUGGGACUGAGAUACGGCCCAGACUCCUACGGGAGGCAGCAGUGGGGAAUAUUGCACAAUGGGCGGAAGCCUUAUGCAGCAACGCCGCGUGCGGGAUGACGGCCUUCGGGUUGUAAACCGCUUUCGCCUGUGACGAAGCGUGAGUGACGGUAAUGGGUAAAGAAGCACCGGCUAACUACGUG
Molecule: ribosomal RNA, 468 nt
Filed under: uncultured bacterium
Lineage: Bacteria
Description: partial 16S ribosomal RNA
Rfam family: Bacterial small subunit ribosomal RNA
Source: RNAcentral